AGUAACACGUGGGUAACCUGCCUGUAAGACUGGGAUAACUCCGGGAAACCGGAGCUAAUACCGGAUAGUUCCUUGAACCGCAUGGUUCAAGGAUGAAAGACGGUUUCGGCUGUCACUUACAGAUGGACCCGCGGCGCAUUAGCUAGUUGGUGAGGUAACGGCUCACCAAGGCGACGAUGCGUAGCCGACCUGAGAGGGUGAUCGGCCACACUGGGACUGAGACACGGCCCAGACUCCUACGGGAGGCAGCAGUAGGGAAUCUUCCGCAAUGGACGAAAGUCUGACGGAGCAACGCCGCGUGAGUGAUGAAGGUUUUCGGAUCGUAAAGCUCUGUUGUUAGGGAAGAACAAGUGCAAGAGUAACUGCUUGCACCUUGACGGUACCUAACCA
RNAcentral lists this ribosomal RNA (390 nucleotides) under Bacillus altitudinis. Its description in RNAcentral is "bacterial SSU rRNA". It matches the Rfam family "Bacterial small subunit ribosomal RNA", at positions 109 to 485 of the family's 1533-position model. Lineage: Bacteria; Bacillati; Bacillota; Bacilli; Caryophanales; Bacillaceae. The record is from RNAcentral.